Molecule: ribosomal RNA, 324 nt
Filed under: Triticum aestivum (bread wheat)
Lineage: Eukaryota; Viridiplantae; Streptophyta; Magnoliopsida; Poales; Poaceae
Description: partial small subunit ribosomal RNA
Source: RNAcentral
AUGCUCACCAAAAUUUUCCCAAUGGAACCAAGCAAGUCCGCAAAGGCACAGGUGACAGGACCCUUGCUUCCACGAGUGCGUGCGUACAGCCGUCAAAGCUUGUCGGUCUCUCGGGCUCGCUCGCCCCCUGCCCCCGUCAAACAGAAACAGGCGUGCGCUCGCCCACCUAAUCCCAAAUCCAAACAAAUCCGGCUCCUCUCAAAUCCCCCGGUUCUCCAUCCGUCCAUCCCUCCCCCCUCCUCUCCUCUCCCCCGUCUUGUUUUACCGAGCGAUCCCCCCAGCGAGCUAAACCCUAGAUCCUCCGCCCAACCGCUAAAACCCUAG